AGCAGGAAGUCAAAAGCUGGACCCGGAAGAGAAUUACGAACUUUGAGGGAUAUGAGCUGUCAAACCUUUAUUGGUAGUUUUGAAGUUUUCGGAGAGCGUAUAUUGUAAAAGAUGGCGCAGUUUCACGAGAGCAUUCGCAAUAGUUUAUCAGAAUUUGACAAAUUUCUGGAAGCUCUGAAAAAUGAAAAGUUGUCGAAGAAGUUGCAAAGUAACAGGGACAAGGUGACAGAGUUGCUGAAGAAGUUGAGGGAGGACUACCCAGCUCUUGCCCCAACAACAACAAAUGACAGAGAUGAGUCUGACGGAUCAGCAGGGAAAGUGAGCUUCCAGAGUGGGGGCGCGGCAGAUGAUGACGACUAUGCAUACACUGAGACAUCAGAUGUGCCUGAAGUUGCUGUGAAAGAUUUAACAAAUCCUGUCAAAAUGGGUUUCUUGGAAAAGAAGAGGAAAAAAACCACACUUCUACAAAGUGCCUAUCAGAAGAGAUUCUGUGUCAUCCAGAACAAGACCUUCUACUACUAUGAGAAGAGCAAGGAUGCAAAACAGUCUGGAGCCUUUUUUCUCGAAGGCUAUGAGUUCCGUGAAGCACCACAACACGUCAAGGAGGCUGCCAAGAAGGAGUUGAGCUUUGAGAUGGUGGCGCCAGGAAAACGGUCAUACCAGUUUCUCGCAGAGUCGAAGGAGGAGUUUCAGGUGUGGCGUUCGAUCAUCGAGAGUGGUGGAGAACCAACAGAAGACACCUAUGAAAUCUUCAGCGAUGGCUUCUCCAACUACUACAACCAACAAUACGACGACAUAGCAGCGGCCGUCACCCCAGGCGGCGAGAGGUAUGAGGCACUCGACAAGGAUACAACAGGGAUGUACGAUGAUGCCAGAACGCCACAGCUUCCAUCCAUGCCUCCGCCAGCCAUUCCCAAACAACCUAUACCCCAGAUACCCGCUGUCCCAAAACAACCUAUACCCCAGAUACCCGCUGUCCCCAAACAAGCAGUCUCCCAGACCAAGCCUGUUGACAAACAACAGCCCCCGCCUCGCCUACCGAUCAGGAUCGUUGUCAACCCGGACGAGGAUUUUGAGAAUAUGUAUUACGGGAAGUGGGCAAAUAAGGCCGACUCUGAAGACGAAUUGUCCUUCAAGGUGGCCGACAUUAUUCACAUCGUCAGCCGAGAUUAUGACAAACAAGGCUGGUGGAUUGGACGAAUUAAGGACACCUCAAAUUAUGGUCUGGUCCCGAAACAAUUGCUGUUUCCUGCCUAUCGGGCUAUGUAAUCAUGUACGGUCAUCCUCACAGACUGAGCAGUUUGACCAGUGGUAAUAGUAGCUGUGGUUGGGCUAGCAGUGAUAUACAUUUAAUCAGAAUAUUGUCAUGUUUUGAUGAUGUUUGUAGCUGAUUCAUACAGAGGUCUCGUGUAAAUUAUUCUUCAAUUUUAGAUCUUAUCUGUAAACAAAGUGCAAUAAUACAUCAACAUAUUUCCAACUUGUGUGUUUUUAAUGAUACAAUAAUGUCAGGUCAAACUGAGGAUAUGGAACAUUAAUAAAUAAAUAAAUCCUCUUAUGUACAAGAGCCACCUUCAUGCAUCCAGGAAAAUGUGGGUUAAAAUUGGUCCUCAGCCACCCAUGAUUGCUGUACUAUAUGUGGAGUGUGAUUGGGUGGUCAGGCUGUUGCAUGUCAUCAUACCCCAACUGCAAUAAUUGAUGCUCAUGAUGUCAAUCACUGAAUUGUGUGGUCCAAACUUGAUUGUUUACAGAUUACUGCCAUAUAGCUGAAAGAUUAUAGUUGAGUCCAGCGUAAAACAACAGACAUUUUCAGCCAUCAAAUGUAAUGAGUGAGUGAGUUUAGUUUUACGCCAGACUCAGCAAUAUUCCAGCUAUAUGGCGGCUGUCUGUAAAUAAUCGAGUCUGGACCAGACAAUCCAGUGAUCAACAUCAUGAGCAUUGAUCUACGCAAUUGGGAUACGAUGACAAAAUGUAAUGACAAACAAUUCAACUAAAACAAAUUUAGUCAGCUUUAGGGUUCCUAACAGCCAUGGUAGCUUACAUUCUACGAUUACUUUAAAAUUCUGUUUUGUCCAUUGAAACAGUCUUUGUUUCAAGUUUAAAGUAAUGAUAUAAGAUUAAGAUACAAAGAGCAGAGCCUUUGAUAGCAUUUCCUUCUAUCAGUGUAGUCAUGGUUCUGUAUGCUUAUGUUUCCACUGAAGUCAUUCUGAUUUCAGGAUGAUAAAAUCAGUUUCAGAGCACUGUGCCUGCAAUCAAGUAGGGGAUUAAAAAAAUGAAUGAGGAGUUUCAGAUAAACAGGUAAACUAUUUUAUAUUGCAGAUUGGGUCAUUUUAAUUGCUGCAGAUCUUCUUCUUCACUCAGGUGUUCCCUGAAUUCUUACUACCAGUAUAUUGAAGUAUAUUAAUUGUUGCAGAUAUUCCUGUUCGCUCAGGUGUUCCCUGAAUCCUUGCUACCAGUAUAUUGAAGUAUAUUAAUUGUUGCAGAUAUUCCUGUUCGCUCAGGUGUUCCUUGAAUCCUUGCUACCAGUAUAUUCAAGUAUAUUAAUUGUUGCAGAUAUUCCUGUUCGCUCAGGUGUUCCCUUAAUUCUUACUACCAGUAUAUUCAAGUAUAUUAAUUGUUGCAGAUAUUCCUGUUCGCUCAGGUGUUCCCUGAAUCCUUGCUACCAGUAUAUUCAAGUAUAUUAAUUGUUGCAGAUAUUCCUGUUCGCUCAGGUGUUCCCUGAAUCCUUGCUACCAGUAUAUUCAAGUAUAUUAACUGUUGCAGAUAUUCCUGUUCGCUCAGGUGUUCCCUUAAUUCUUACUACCAGUAUAUUCAAGUAUAUUAAUUGCUGCAGAUAUUCCUGUGCAGUCAGGUGUUCCCUUAUUUAUUUCUAUCAGUGAUGAUGGCUGCAGAUAUUCUUGUUACCUUAUUUCUUUCUAUCAGCAUAUGUGUUUUGCUGUAGGCAUUAUUUACUCAUUUGUGCCUUUCCUCUAAGCUAAUUUUUCCAUUACUGGCAGUCAGUGGUCCAUUCAUAUGGUUCCUGCUGCUGGUUUGCAUUUUGUAGGGUCUCUUUCUGCAGGUUGUUGGUUGUUCUCUGAUGUUGUCUUUUUGUGUUAUCUAUAUUUAUAUUUUGUUGUAGAUCUUAAUGUUAACUCAAAAUGUACUUGUCACUUAGCUUUUGUGUCAAAAUAGGAGUAUUGUCUCUCUCGGUGAUGGAAAUAAAGACAUAUAUUAAAA
RNA transcript from Haliotis rubra (blacklip abalone), 3213 nucleotides. It is a transcript of the gene named src kinase-associated phosphoprotein 2-B-like, with no coding region annotated. The record is from RefSeq and is a predicted model, not a curated record. The transcript has 11 exons. Lineage: Eukaryota; Metazoa; Mollusca; Gastropoda; Lepetellida; Haliotidae.